RNAcentral lists this transfer RNA (69 nucleotides) under Calyptocephallela gayi (helmeted water toad). Its description in RNAcentral is "tRNA-Gly". It matches the Rfam family "tRNA". Rfam says of the family: Transfer RNA (tRNA) molecules are approximately 80 nucleotides in length. Their secondary structure includes four short double-helical elements and three loops (D, anti-codon, and T loops). Further hydrogen bonds mediate the characteristic L-shaped molecular structure. tRNAs have two regions of fundamental functional importance: the anti-codon, which is responsible for specific mRNA codon recognition, and the 3' end, to which the tRNAs corresponding amino acid is attached (by aminoacyl-tRNA synthetases). tRNAs cope with the degeneracy of the genetic code in two manners: having more than one tRNA (with a specific anti-codon) for a particular amino acid; and 'wobble' base-pairing, i.e. permitting non-standard base-pairing at the 3rd anti-codon position. The record is from RNAcentral. Lineage: Eukaryota; Metazoa; Chordata; Amphibia; Anura; Calyptocephalellidae.
AUCUUCUUAGUAUACUUAGUACAAGUGACUUCCAAUCAUUAAAACUCGGUUAAAUCCCGAGAGAAGAUA